This 497-nucleotide ribosomal RNA is filed under the name uncultured bacterium. Its description in RNAcentral is "partial 16S ribosomal RNA". It matches the Rfam family "Bacterial small subunit ribosomal RNA", at positions 28 to 507 of the family's 1533-position model. The record is from RNAcentral.
GAUGAACGCUGGCGGCGUGCCUAACACAUGCAAGUCGAGCGAACGGACGAUAAGCUUGCGCCCUUGAUGUUAGCGGCGGACGGGUGAGUAAGACGUGGAUAACCAACUUAUUAGACUGGGAUAACUUCGGGAGACCGGAGCCAAUACUAGAUAAUAUUUUGAACCGCAGGGUUCAAAAGUGAAAGACGGUUUUCCUGUCACUAAGAGAUGAUGCCGCGUUGCAUUAGCGAGUUGGUAAGGUAACGGCUCACCAAGGCAACGAUGCAUAGCCGACCUGAGAGGGUGAUCGGCCACACUGGAACUGAGACACGGUCCAGACUCCUACGGGAGGCAGCAGUAGGGAAUAUUCGACAAUGGGCGCAAGCCUGAUGGAGCCACACCGCGUGAGUGAAGAAGGCCUUCGGAUCGUAAAGCUCUUUUAUUGGGAAAGAACAUAUGUGGAAGUAACUCUCGCUAUCCUGACGGUACCUAAUCAGAAAGCACCGGCUAACUACGUG